GACGGAGGAUGCAAGCGUUAUCCGGAAUGAUUGGGCGUAAAGCGUCCGCAGGUGGCAGUUCAAGUCUGCUGUCAAAGACCGGGGCUUAACUUCGGAAAGGCAGUGGAAACUGAACAGCUAGAGUAUGGUAGGGGCAGAGGGAAUUCCUGGUGUAGCGGUGAAAUGCGUAGAGAUCAGGAAGAACAUCGGUGGCGAAGGCGGCCUGCUGGGCAGUGGCUGACGCUGAGGCGCGACAGCGUGGGGAGCAAACAGG
This 253-nucleotide ribosomal RNA is filed under the name uncultured bacterium. RNAcentral describes it as "partial 16S ribosomal RNA". It matches the Rfam family "Bacterial small subunit ribosomal RNA", at positions 524 to 776 of the family's 1533-position model. The record is from RNAcentral.